Molecule: long non-coding RNA, 1544 nt
Filed under: Ananas comosus (pineapple)
Lineage: Eukaryota; Viridiplantae; Streptophyta; Magnoliopsida; Poales; Bromeliaceae
Description: long non-coding RNA (ACOM_LNC021140)
Source: RNAcentral
GCUCGACCAAUAGGUCCAAGGAGGUACUGCAAUCAUGUUAGUCCAAAAACAUCUAUAGAUAUAUAUAUCAUCAUGUUAUUAUGCAACUAAUAGAUAACAUGCCUCGCAACAUGUAAUAUGAAUAUAUGCAAUCAACUAGUAGAUCUAUUGAUUCUACGUUCAACUUUGCUAUCUUUAGCUCAUAUCACUCAUCUCUAAGGUUUCUAUUACCUUAGGUUCACAAUUCAAGCUCAACUUGCUCAUAAGGUCACUAUUACCUUAUCUCUUGUCUCUAUCACUAGCUUAUAAGGUUUCUACUACCCUAUCCAAGCUAUCAACUCGACUCGGCCUCGAGUCAAUCAUCCGCGGAUAAUCCGUGCACUGGCUGCACCUCAGCCUACCGCCUUCAAUGACUUAGCCCCAUAGCGGCGAAAUCGUCGCACACGCUGAACAGGCUCAAGUCACGUGGCGGCCUAAUCCACAAUCGGCUUAACCAUCUGGCGGCGAAAUCGUCGCACAUGUCCAGCCAUGGUUCAAGCCUCGGGCGGUGAUCUCUGCGUACUCACCCCCAAUCCUCCCUUGGUAUCAACCUAGGCGGCGAAAUCGUUGCACAUGCCCUAGCCUUGAUAUCAAGGUCAUCACAGAUCCUGGGAUUCCAGAAUCCACUUCCACAGGUCAAGGGUCCAUAUCCAACCCUAUGUUGUCGACCUAUCUAGGUUCGACCCAAACAUUCUAGUGGCUGCUACCACUAUAGUUAACAACCUAGGUUCAACCGCUAGGUUUACUACACAUCACAACCUAGGUUCCAACACUCUAGGUUCUAUGUCAUUACUAUCUAGAUCUCAGCUUCUAGGUUCACUUGUUCAACCUAUGUUCAUGACACUAGGUUGGAUGCCAUUCACCUAGAUCUAUUUAACUCUAGGUUCAUUCACAACCUAUGUUCUUUAACACUAGGUUAGAUGCCACUCAUGAUUCAUCCUAGGUUCAAAAACACUAGGUUCGAUGCCACUCGAUCUAUUCGACCUCCUAAUUGUCCAAUCGAGCAGUUCACAUUACUAUUUUCCAUUGUCGAGUUCUCUACUCACUCUAGGAUUAUCAAUCUCAUUCACAUGCAUAUGUACUUAGCAUAUCCUCACAAUGCUAAUCAUGCAUUCAUGCAAAUUACCUAGCAUUUACAUAACAUGCUUAUCAUGCAUUCAUUUAGUAUUAACUACAUGCAUCACUUGGUAGCUCAACACAAUAUUCAUCUCAUGCAUUCAUGGAUUCACAACUAACUACCGUUAUAUGCAUCAAUAUGAAUUCACAAUUCGCUUAGACAUAACGGCAACCUAGUCGCUUCGGUAAGCACAACCCAUCUCGAUUCGCUCUUCGAUUGCUUGUAAUCACUUGCAAUCGGCCUCCCGCGGCACUCGGCACCCGGUUUGGCCCAAUUUCGCAGUUGCACACCAACCGUGCGCCGCUUUGCGGUUCCGGGAAUUAAAGGUCUUCAAUUAGCUGCCACGACGCCCGGAAUCCGUUUUCACAAUUUAUGGGCACCGCCUCGAUCCUACAGGCAAAAACGAAGC